GCAACGGGCGCAACCCUUGUCUUUAGUUGCCAUCAUGAAGUUGGGCACUCUAGAGAGACGGCCAGGGAUAACCUGGAGGGAGGGGGGGAGGACGUCAAAUCAUCAUGCCCCGUAUGCUUAGGGCUACACACGUGCUACAAUGGGUAGUACAGAGGGUUGCCAAGCCGUAAGGUGGAGCUAAUCCCUUAAAGCUAUUCUCAGUUCGGAUUGUAGGCUGAAACUCGCCUACAUGAAGCUGGAGUUACUAGUAAUCGCAGAUCAGAAUGCUGCGGUGAAUGCGUUCCCGGGUCUUGUACACACCGCCCGUCACACCACGGGAGUUGGAGACGCCCGAAGCCGAUUAUCUAACCUUUUGGAAGAAGUCGUCGAAGGUGGAAUCAAUAACUGGGGUGAAGUCGUAACAAGGUAGCCGUAUCGGA
RNAcentral lists this ribosomal RNA (419 nucleotides) under Clostridioides difficile. RNAcentral's name for it is "bacterial SSU rRNA". It matches the Rfam family "Bacterial small subunit ribosomal RNA", at positions 1089 to 1509 of the family's 1533-position model. The record is from RNAcentral. Lineage: Bacteria; Bacillati; Bacillota; Clostridia; Peptostreptococcales; Peptostreptococcaceae.